UGGGGAAUAUUGCACAAUGGGCGAAAGCCUGAUGCAGCGACGCCGCGUGAGGGAUGACGGCCUUCGGGUUGUAAACCUCUUUCAGUAGGGACGAAGCGCAAGUGACGGUACCUACAGAAGAAGCACCGGCCAACUACGUGCCAGCAGCCGCGGUAAUACGUAGGGUGCGAGAGUUGUCCGGAUUUACUGGGCGUAAAGAGCUCGUAGGCGGUUUGUCACGUCGUCUGUGAAAACCCGAGGCUUAACCUCGGGCCUGCAGGCGAUACGGGCAGACUUGAGUACUGUAGGGGAGACUGGAAUUCCUGGUGUAGCGGUGGAAUGCGCAGAUAUCAGGAGGAACACCGUUGGCGAAGGCGGGUCUCUGGGCAGUAACUGACGCUGAGGAGCGAAAGCGUGGGUAGCGAACAGG
This 409-nucleotide ribosomal RNA is filed under the name bacterium. RNAcentral describes it as "partial 16S ribosomal RNA". It matches the Rfam family "Bacterial small subunit ribosomal RNA", at positions 355 to 776 of the family's 1533-position model. The record is from RNAcentral.